Molecule: long non-coding RNA, 240 nt
Organism: Rhipicephalus sanguineus (brown dog tick)
Lineage: Eukaryota; Metazoa; Arthropoda; Arachnida; Ixodida; Ixodidae
Exons: 3
Source: RefSeq, a predicted model, not a curated record
GCCAGAUUUCGGAUUACCGCGGCCGCGUCGUGCUUGACAGGGACGAGUGUGCGAGGCCCAUAGUUCGGGUGGUCUGAAUCGGUGAGCCCUGCUCCAGCUGCUACUGGUGUGGCUGAAGAGGAUGUGGCCCAGGAUCUUUCCCGUGCCCCAACUCCUCAUGCCGCAGCUGCGAGAUGGGGGCAACCGGCAGGCCGAGGCGCUGGAGUUACUAGCCGCAAACACCAGGCGGCAGGGCCAGGC